Molecule: long non-coding RNA, 972 nt
Organism: Oxyura jamaicensis (ruddy duck)
Lineage: Eukaryota; Metazoa; Chordata; Aves; Anseriformes; Anatidae
Exons: 2
Source: RefSeq, a predicted model, not a curated record
CUUGUGGCAGCAUGAUGCUGCUCCCAAUACUUCAGCUGUCCUGUGACUUGGAACAACAGUCUACCACUAUAAAAAGUGGUGUCUCAUAAACUGGUCGUGCAAGCUCCCGUUAACAGAGAGAGACCACUGAGUGUGUUAUUCCUACAUUUCUCUCCAUUCCUGUAAACGUGUGGAACAGCAAGUGUGUGAGCGAGUCUGGACAGUUGGCUCAAGUGAGAUGCUUGUUACAUGACUGAGUCUAGCAUCCUGAAAUGUCCAGAAUGCUGAAGAGUCUGUAUCUUUGAUACAAGUGUAUCCCAGAAAGCAGAGAAUCUACUUGCUCUGCACUGCUGGAAAAUAUAAAGGAAGAAGCCCUUUCUCUUGAUACAGAAGAACCAAUCUUUCACAAAGGCUGUGUUGCUGGUGGGAAGAUAAGCUUCCCAAAGAUGGCUUAGUGCUUCAGUACAUUGUGAUUAUGCACCCGUUGAAGAGGAAGACUGUUAUGUUAAAGUCCUUGCUUCCGGAGACGAGAACCUGGUUGUUACAGUACGGGGUUUAUCAUGGCAGCCUGUAUGAAAUCAGCAGUCUUUUCUAGACACUUAUAUGUAGCAUCAUGUAGGAACAGCUCCACCUUAUGGCACAUGACUUUAUGAUUAAUCUUCACGUACCACGUGACAGUUUGCUGCCAUUUCAGGGAUCUGAGUUAAACUACUGUCCUUUCACAGAUGGAAACUUACUAUAAAGUCCACUCUACGUUGUUAGGAUAAUCUGUGUUAAAAGAUGACACGACAAUGUGAGAGCUUUGCAUGCAUGUUAAGAUUUACUAUGCAGACCUACAGUGAGCCAGAAAGAUGUGUUUCUGUCAUUCUUUGUAAAGCGAGGGGAUCGGUGUUAAGUACUGUCUUCUGUUCAGGAGAAGGGACCAAGUGACGUGUUGCUUGCUACUCUAGAAAGUCAGAAUAUAUAAUGCAUUAGAAGUGAUAUUUUAGGUCA